This 1379-nucleotide long non-coding RNA is filed under the name Naja naja (Indian cobra). Its description in RNAcentral is "lncRNA (ENSNNAG00000017116.1)". Lineage: Eukaryota; Metazoa; Chordata; Lepidosauria; Squamata; Elapidae. The record is from RNAcentral.
UCCUCAGGCGGACAAGCCGUUCCCAAAGCACGGUGUGUGUCCUGCAGCAGGACACCAGGGGGCGCUAGCAGACCAUGAGACUGGCUCAUCCUCCCUAUUCCAAAGUCCCUUUUCUGUGACCGGAAUGGUCACUUGGAACAGAGUUCAGGGCAGAUGGUCAGUGGCUUAAAGCUUCCGAGGGAGCGUCUGAGAGGAAGCUGAUCCAGAUAGCGUCCGCCUGAUCCGGAUAGCGUCACUGGAGAAGCAUCAGUGUGAUGUUUCUAGAACCUCUUCUUGGGUGGUGUUUGUCAAUCGUGGAAGCUUGAAGAUGGGUGGACUUCAACUCCCAGAAUUCCCCAGCCAGCUAUGCUGACUGUGGAAUUCUGGGAGUGGAAGUCCACCCCUCUUAAAGCCUGCUGGAUGGGGAAUUCUGGGAGUGGCAGUCCACCCAUCCUGAAGCUGCCAAGCUUGUGGACAAAUCCUCCCUUAGAUGCUAUGCAGGUGAUCCUCAACUUACAACCCUUUCUCUAGCAACCAUUCAAAGUUUAGUGUUGCUCAAAAAGAGUCACUUACGACCGGUCCUCGCCCUUAUGUCCAUGGCAGUGAGUCACGUGAUCGCCACUUGGUACCUUCUCCACCCGCUUCCCACAAGCAAAGUCAGUGGGGAAGCCAGAUUAGCUCAACGGCCAUAAUUCACUUAAGAACUUUGGCGAAAAAGUCCGUAAACCCGAGUGCAACUCACUUAACAACCUCCUAACUUGGCAACAGAGAUUGUGGUCCCAACGAUGCUCGUAUGUUGAGGACCUUUGUAGUUAUAAUACCCAUUUUCCCCUACUGAGCCAAUGCUGCCUUAACAAUUCUGCAAGAAUUAACAAUUUGUUCUUUUAUACAAUUAAUCCUAACCCUUCUUCCUCUCUUCAUGCAGAUUUAAAGGUGAGUUAAUUGAACCCUAAUCCCGAUGCUAACCACCAUGCUAACUCUUAACCCUGUUGCCUCCUUAUAGAGCCAGCCAAGGAAUCUCAGGUCCUAUUUCAUCCAGCAAACGGGGCCAAGUUAAAGCACGCGGACAGUGAGGGAGACCUCUUCCCGGCCAGCGAGCCCCUCCUCUCCUCCAGCAGCUCGUGCACGCUGGCCUCGGCCAAACCAGAGGAGGAAGCUGAACCCUCGGAUCUGGAAGCGGAGGAGGCCGAAUUCUCCCUGGCACAAGACCCGCUCACCACAAACCUCUCCAUCACCGAGGAGAUCCUGGAGCUGCUUAGCCAGCGGGGCCUGGACAAGGAAACUGGAAAGGAAGGGAGGUUUUGGAGAGAAAGUAGCUCAGAAGCCCCCGGCUCGGCUCUGCAGGUAAUCGCUCGGAGUUGGUGAUUAUUAUUAUUUUCAUUGGUAAUUAUCAUGGUGCC